AAACAAACCCCCACUCUGAUUGAGUUCAUCUCAACUCAAACAAACCCCCACUCUGAAUGAGUUAAUUUCAACUCAAACACCCCCACUCUGAAUGAGUUCAUCUAAACUCAAACAAACCCCCACUCUGAAUGAGUUCAUCUCUCAAACAAACCCCCACUCUAAAUUAGUUAAUCUCAAUUUAAACAAACCCCCACUCUUUAUGAGUUCAUCUCAACUCAAACAAGCCCCCACUC
This 233-nucleotide long non-coding RNA is filed under the name Astyanax mexicanus (Mexican tetra). Its description in RNAcentral is "lncRNA (ENSAMXG00005017517.1)". Lineage: Eukaryota; Metazoa; Chordata; Actinopteri; Characiformes; Acestrorhamphidae. The record is from RNAcentral.